UACGUAGGGUCCGAGCGUUAAUCGGAAUUAUUGGGCGUAAAGGGCGCGUAGGCGGCUUGGCAAGUGGAUGGUGAAAUCCCUCGGCUUAACCGAGGAACUGCCGUCCAAACUGCUUCGCUUGAGACCGGGAGAGGUGAGUGGAAUUCCCAGUGUAGCGGUGAAAUGCGUAGAUAUUGGGAGGAACACCAGUGGCGAAGGCAGGUCUCUGGGCCGAUACUGACGCUGAGGAGCGAAAGCGUGGGGAGCGAACAGG
This 253-nucleotide ribosomal RNA is filed under the name uncultured bacterium. RNAcentral's name for it is "partial 16S ribosomal RNA". It matches the Rfam family "Bacterial small subunit ribosomal RNA", at positions 524 to 776 of the family's 1533-position model. The record is from RNAcentral.